GCCCUCUUAGCUCAGUGGUAGAGCACUUCCAUGGUAAGGAAGGGGUCAUCGGUUCAAAUCCGAUAGAGGGCU
RNAcentral lists this transfer RNA (72 nucleotides) under Patulibacter sp. RNAcentral's name for it is "tRNA-Thr". It matches the Rfam family "tRNA". Rfam says of the family: Transfer RNA (tRNA) molecules are approximately 80 nucleotides in length. Their secondary structure includes four short double-helical elements and three loops (D, anti-codon, and T loops). The record is from RNAcentral. RNAcentral also lists the same sequence under 1 other name. Lineage: Bacteria; Bacillati; Actinomycetota; Thermoleophilia; Solirubrobacterales; Patulibacteraceae.